CCUUCGAUAGCUCAGUUGGUAGAGCGGGGGACUGUAGUUGUUCGCCGCAGUCAUAAUCCCUAUUCCCUAGGUCACUCAUGGUUCGAAUCCGGUUCGAAGGA
This is a non-coding RNA of Paramuricea clavata, 101 nucleotides long. The record is from the annotation of a GenBank genome assembly. NCBI's taxonomy places the organism in Eukaryota, Metazoa, Cnidaria, Anthozoa, Malacalcyonacea, Plexauridae.